Molecule: ribosomal RNA, 492 nt
Filed under: uncultured bacterium
Lineage: Bacteria
Description: partial 16S ribosomal RNA
Rfam family: Bacterial small subunit ribosomal RNA
Source: RNAcentral
AGUGAACGCUGGCGGUAGGCCUAACACAUGCAAGUCGAACGGCAGCACAGUAAGAGCUUGCUCUUACGGGUGGCGAGUGGCGGACGGGUGAGGAAUACAUCGGAAUCUACUUUUUCGUGGGGGAUAACGUAGGGAAACUUACGCUAAUACCGCAUACGACCUACGGGUGAAGGCAGGGGAUCUUCGGACCUUGCGCGAUUGAAUGAGCCGAUGUCGGAUUAGCUAGUUGGCGGGGUAAAGGCCCCCCAAGGCGACGAUCCGUAGCUGGUCUGAGAGGAUGAUCAGCCACACUGGAACUGAGACACGGUCCAGACUCCUACGGGAGGCAGCAGUGGGGAAUAUUGGACAAUGGGCGCAAGCCUGAUCCAGCCAUACCGCGUGGGUGAAGAAGGCCUUCGGGUUGUAAAGCCCUUUUGUUGGGAAAGAAAAGCAGCAGGUUAAUACCCCGCUGUUCUGACGGUACCCAAAGAAUAAGCACCGGCUAACUUCGUG